Molecule: long non-coding RNA, 1506 nt
Filed under: Pogona vitticeps (central bearded dragon)
Lineage: Eukaryota; Metazoa; Chordata; Lepidosauria; Squamata; Agamidae
Description: lncRNA (ENSPVIG00000002688.1)
Source: RNAcentral
GAAAUAUUAGAGACAAAGCAUCUCCUGUAUAAUAUCCCAUCCAGAUGGCAGUUCCAAUGUUUUAUGGCCAGUCUGUUUAUUAAUGAACAUCUGUUUUUUGCUACAGAACAGAGUGGACAUUUUAACAUAAAGCCUGCCUUCCAGUUUUCAGACGAAAAUCAAAAUAGACAAUAUGUUAUUACUGAAAAAUGUUCUAAAUUUCUGUUUAAUUUCAGAACAAGUACAUCAACCCUUUUUACUACCCAUGAUGGAUGCUGUUCAAUCUGAUACAUUUACUUCAAAGUGCAUUAUACUUCAAAAGAUUGCAGCUAUUGUGAACAAGCUUUUGAACUACAUAUUUUCCACUCAAGCAGAGGAAUUCAAAGUGCAGAAAGAAGACAUUGGAACAUCACAGAAAAGGAAGAAAACCCAAGUUAAUGUGAAGAGAGAUUGUUUACAGGACAUGUUUCCAUUCUGAGGUUAAAAAACAAGCAGAAGUGGCAUGAAAAGAGUAAGACAUAACUAAAUCUUUGGCUGUUCAAGAAAUGUACUACAAGUAGGGCUCAUGCAGUCAUUUGGUGUAAUUCACAAUACUCAAAAGUACUCCUAAAGCAGGACUGAGCAACUUCCCAGAGUUGAGGGGGAUGUACUAGCUAGCCAUCCCCGGACCCUGAAUGCCCCCAGCUACCUCAGCUCUACUAUUUCUGAGUGCUUUUCAACUACUCCCUCCCCUCCCCUUAAUUUGUCCGCAUUAAAAAAAGAAAGGCCAAUCGCCUCCCAAGUAGUCUCUGAGGAAACGACUGGUCACAGGAGGCUGAGCCAAAAUUAGGCCAAGAGGAAUAUUAUUGUUAAAUCAGAAAUAUCUGUGUCACUUCAUUUGGAGAACGAUCUCUGGGAGGUGGGGGGAGGAAAUGACUUGAAAUGGAUAAUCUUGCCGCCAAGAGACUUAAGGGGACAUAAGUAGGAUGGGCUAAUUUUCUAAAUAGGCACCAUUAUCUAAAUGCCGUGGCAAUUUUCAUAUUAAGCACAUUCAUUGUUGCUUUGUUUUUCUACCAAUACAUCUUGCCUUGGUGCCAUUGAUAUAGUAACCCCAGAGAUGAGACAACCAGUAGAGUGUAAUGAUUAGCAUGUUGCUCGUGGAAGAAGAAGACCUACAUUCAAAUUCCUACUUGAGCAUGGUCAAAUCCCUACUUUGGAUCUGGGGCCAAUCAGAACCUCUCUUAGAGGAUUGCUCUUGGAAGGAUGCAAAUAGCAGCCAUGUACAUAGAUGGUGCAUAGAAAAAAAAUAAUGGCAUUCUAUCAUAUAUGCCUGGAAGCAUUCUCAUUAGAUAAGUGUUCGGGUUUUUUACCAUCCAUUUUUAGUAAUGGCCAACUGCCUUCCCACCCCCCAAAAAACAUAUCCAGGGUCCCUCAUACAGAAUAGUCACUGACUGUAAUGGCUGGGAGUUUCUGAGAGUUGUAGUCCAAGAAAAUAAUGUUGCAAAUCACUGAUUCCUAAUAAAUGCAUCUACUGCAAUGGAAGGUCCA